Molecule: long non-coding RNA, 518 nt
Organism: Mauremys reevesii (Reeves's turtle)
Lineage: Eukaryota; Metazoa; Chordata; Testudines; Geoemydidae
Exons: 2
Source: RefSeq, a predicted model, not a curated record
CUGUUUUACAUAACUGAGAACUGAAAACCUUGGAGUUUCACAGAAAAUAAUCCCCCCAAUUUCUUAAUCUACAUCACAGAAAUUCCUUCUUCUUUUACUAGGAAUAAUCCAGGCUAGGUGUUACUUGCCUUUUGCUGUGUGCACAUGGACAUAUAUGAUUAGUUAGUUCAAAAAAGUGACUCUUUGCUUCCUCUGAACUGAAUGCAAAUGAUAGUGAAAUACGGGCAUAAUAUCUGCUGCAAAUUCUGUGUUUUAUCUCUAUGGAAUUCUGUGGAACCAGUUCCUUAGGUUUUAAUACUAGGAGUCUUUUCAUAACCAUCCAACAAGGAAAGAGGACAGCACUUUUGUUUUUUGCCAGAUUUCUUGGGGCAAAAUGCAUACUUGCAGGAUAUGAAUAAAGUAGGCUGGGAAGGAAGUCUGUAUUCUUAUGCAAGUAGUCGUGGAAGUUAAAAAUGAGAUCUAAGGCAGAGAAUACAUGUUUGAGCAAGUAUUUUGAAUAUAAAGAACAGCUACUAUAA